This 490-nucleotide ribosomal RNA is filed under the name uncultured bacterium. Its description in RNAcentral is "partial 16S ribosomal RNA". It matches the Rfam family "Bacterial small subunit ribosomal RNA", at positions 30 to 507 of the family's 1533-position model. The record is from RNAcentral.
AUUGAACGCUGGCGGCAGGCCUAACACAUGCAAGUCGAACGGUAACAGGAAGCAGCUUGCUGCUUUGCUGACGAGUGGCGGACGGGUGAGUAAUGUCUGGGAAACUGCCUGAUGGAGGGGGAUAACUACUGGAAACGGUAGCUAAUACCGCAUAACGUCGCAAGACAAAAGAGGGGGACCUUCGGUCCUCUUGCCAUCGAAUGUGCCCCGAUGGGAUUAGCUAGUAGGUGGGGUAACGGCUCACCUAGGCGACGAUCCCUAGCUGGUCUGAGAGGAUGACCAGCCACACUGGAACUGAGACACGGUCCAGACUCCUACGGGAGGCAGCAGUGGGGAAUAUUGCACAAUGGGCGCAAGCCUGAUGCAGCCAUGCCGCGUGUAUGAAGAAGGCCUUCGGGUUGUAAAGUACUUUCAGCGGGGAGGAAGGGAGUAAAGUUAAUACGUUUGCUCAUUGACGUUACCCGCAGAAGAAGCACCGGCUAACUCCGUG